AGUUGAUUCCCAGGUUCUGGAACUCCUAGUUCAAAUUCUUGAGUGAGGGGCUCUGGUGGACCAGCACAAGGGUCAGAUGCCUGCCAGUGAUCCAAUCAGCUGUUGACCCAGGAGGAGCGAGGUUAUUGAUAUAAACGGCUAAGACUGUACAGAGACGUGGCCUCUCAGAGAAGAAGGCAUGAACUAAAGAAGCAUUUGAAAAUGUGUUCAUGACAAGCAGAUUGCCUCACAUGAUCACUUCACUUAGUUAAAAGAUUUUCUCAUCACUCAUUGUGCUUCAAGAACUGUGAGGAGACUGAGAUUUAUUUGCAGACUAACAAAUUAGCCUACCACGACUUCAUGGAUGCUGGCAAAAGACAUGAAAUUCCUGGGACAUUACUCAUAGCAGAGCAAGGAGCAUGAGCCUCAUGUUUGCAUCAGUUGUCCUUGCUCCAGGAGUCCACUGCUGGGGGGAUGCAAAGGUGCCCAGGUUUUCUGUUGUUGGGGUAGUGCAUCGUCCCUUAUUCUUUACCUUAAACCCUGCCGCACCACUUAAAUGGACCCUUUAUUGGACUCUUCUCAAGGAGUGUACUUCCUGGACUGAUGGGCCAGACUUCUUCCCUUAAAUAAUUUUCUUUUGGAUAAAACUCUGUAUCAGGGAAUACCCUGGAAUUGAGUGAUGCCAUCACACAUUGGCGUUGGGGGUAUGAGCUAUUCUUACAACUCUAGAAUGUUUAUGCAAAGGAAGAAUGAUUCAGUCUGCCUGUAGUCAUUGUGCUAAGAUGAAUAAAUCCUUUCCUACUUUUGUUUUUCAAGUUCCUCUACUUUCGCUUUUUCCUCCGUGGCCGCUUCCUAUCUCAAAUGGAGAAAAUAACAGUACAGUAGAAGACAAUUCUUUUCAGUUACCAAGGCAAAUGUUUUUAAAUUCCCCUCUCCAGCAUGGAAGCUCCUUGAUCUUGGCACCGAUCAAGCAUUAAAUAAGAGCUUGAAGAAAAUUGUAUAAUUCCUGGAGGCUUAUGAAUAAACAUUCAAUGAACAGUAAAAUGGAAAGCCCCGAUUUUAGAAAGUGAGUGCGUCUUGCUCUGUUCAAAUGUUUGCUUUAAAAGCACUUAAGAAGUUCCUGCAGAAUCUCUUGCUCUCUUUUUCUAACAAAUCCUCCUUGCUCCUCCUCCAUGAAAGGUUGACGUUACCACAGGAGUUCAAAUAAAAUGGCAUGGUACAA
Long non-coding RNA from Acinonyx jubatus (cheetah), 1201 nucleotides. RefSeq lists it as uncharacterized. The transcript has 5 exons. NCBI's taxonomy places the organism in Eukaryota, Metazoa, Chordata, Mammalia, Carnivora, Felidae. The record is from RefSeq and is a predicted model, not a curated record.